This is an RNA transcript of Pezoporus flaviventris, 1297 nucleotides long. It is a transcript of the gene named RNA binding protein, mRNA processing factor 2, with no coding region annotated. The record is from RefSeq and is a predicted model, not a curated record. The transcript has 9 exons. Lineage: Eukaryota; Metazoa; Chordata; Aves; Psittaciformes; Psittacidae.
CGAGGUCCCGGGACGCCGCAUGUGAGCCAGGAGGGCAGCGCCGUCCCACACCGCCCGGCACCGCCCCUGCGCACCGGCACCGCACCGGAGCUCCAAAGCAGCCGGCACCACCCCCGCCCCGUUCGCCCCUUUACCCCGGCACCUCACCAUGAGCAACCUCAACAAGGACACCGAGCACACCAACGGCAGCGGCAACGUCGAAGAGGAGGUACGGACACUGUUUGUCAGUGGUCUUCCCGUGGAUAUCAAGCCCAGAGAGCUCUACCUACUCUUCCGACCAUUCAAGGGUUAUGAAGGGUCACUGAUCAAGCUAACUUCAAAGCAGCCAGUUGGUUUUGUGACCUUUGACAGCCGGGCUGGUGCUGAAGCAGCAAAGAACGCCUUGAAUGGCAUCCGCUUUGACCCAGAGAACCCCCAGACCUUGAGAUUAGAGUUUGCAAAAGCCAACACAAAGAUGGCCAAGAGCAAGCUGAUGGCCACGCCAAACCCUACCAACAUCCACCCUGCCUUGGGUGCACACUUCAUUGCACGGGACCCUUAUGACCUGACUGGAGCAGCUCUUAUUCCAGCGUCGCCAGAGGCGUGGGCUCCGUACCCGCUGUACACCACGGAGCUGACCCCCGCCAUCCCCCAUGCUGCCUUCACGUACCCAGCGGCCGCCGCCGCAGCUGCUGCUCUUCACGCUCAGUGAACUCCAGCCAUGAUGCCAGCGCAGGCUAGCCCUGAAGCUCAGAGCUGUCCCUGGAGAUGGGACAUCCUAGUGAUGCCUUAUUGCAGCUAGUGGAGUGGCUGUACUACAGCUUCAUUCCUAGGAGUGUUAAGCAUGAUGGCAGCCCCGUCUGGAAAGACUGAUGCGCUGGUACCCUCCCUCUGAAGCUACCCAGCAAGGAUGGAAGUCUCGUCAGUUUUGUUAGUUCGUUACGUCUCUCCUCGGCUCGUGUUCCUCCUCCCUGCCUCUCCGGAGCAAUGUGCCAGGGAUGAUCACUCAAACUCCUCUUGGUUUGGUUUGGUGACAAGGCACCCGGCCCCGGCGCGCUCCCCAGGGGCUGCCAGCAUCCCCCAUCCCUGGACUGUGAAGCCACCAUGGGCUAUGCGCCGCCUCCAUCCCUCCCUCCCUUCCUCCCCAGGACAUCCUCCCUGGCUGAGCUUCGCAGUGUGGCUGUGCCGAAGCCCAGCCCGGGGGUCUCUGUCCUGGGCUUCCCCGGGCUCGCCCUGUCCCAGUGGCUCAGCUGAAGGGAACGAAAGGCAAUGGGUUUUGCAUGUUUUCUGGCAUGAAUUAAAACACUUAACUUGUGUA